GUAAUGUCGGAUUAUUGGGCGUAAGCGAGCGCAGGCGGUUCUUAAGUCUGAUGUGAAAGCCCCCGGCUCAACCGGGGAGGGUCAUUGGAAACUGGGAGACUUGAGUGCAGAAGAGGAGAGUGGAAUUCCAUGUGUAGCGGUGAAAUGCGUAGAUAUAUGGAGGAACACCAGUGGCGAAGGCGGCUCUCUGGUCUGUAACUGACGCUGAGGCUCGAAAGCGUGGGGGAGCAAACAGGAUUAGAUACCCUGGUAGUCCACGCCGUAAACGAUGAGUGCUAAGUGUUGGAGGGUUUCCGCCCUUCAGUGCUGCAGCAAACGCAUUAAGCACUCCGCCUGGGGAGUACGACCGCAAGGUUGAAACUCAAAGGAAUUGACGGGGGCCCGCCCAAGCGGGGAAGAAUGGUGGUUUAAUUCGAAGCAAGGCGAAGAACCUUACCAGUCCUUGACAUCCUUUGACCACUCUGAAGAUAGAGCUUUCCCCUUCGGGAACAAAGGGACAGGUGGUGCAUGGUUGUCGUCAGCUCGGGUCGGGGGAGGUGGGUUAGGUCCCGCAACGGGCGCACCCUUAUGGUUAGUUGCCAUCAUUUAGUGGGACUCUGCGGGACUGCCGGUGACAAACGGAGGAGGUGGGGAUGACGUCAAACAUCUGCCCCUUAUGACCUGGGUACACACGUGCUACAUGGAAGUACAACGAGCGCUAGACGCGAGGUCAUGCAAAUCUCUAAGCUCUCUCAGUCGGAUGCAGGCUGCACUCGCUGCUGAGCGGAAUCAAAAAUAAUCGGGAUCAGCAGCGGUGAUCGCUCUCCGGGCUAAA
This 814-nucleotide ribosomal RNA is filed under the name Enterococcus faecalis. Its description in RNAcentral is "bacterial SSU rRNA". It matches the Rfam family "Bacterial small subunit ribosomal RNA", at positions 540 to 1383 of the family's 1533-position model. Lineage: Bacteria; Bacillati; Bacillota; Bacilli; Lactobacillales; Enterococcaceae. The record is from RNAcentral.